AGAGUUUGAUCAUGGCUCAGAACGAACGCUGGCGGCAGGCCUAACACAUGCAAGUCGAACGCCCCUUCGGGGGAGUGGCAGACGGGUGAGUAACACGUGGGAACCUACCCAGGAGUACGGAAUAACUCAGGGAAACUUGUGCUAAUACCGUAUACGUCCUUCGGGAGAAAGUUUUAACGCUCUUGGAUGGGCCCGCGUUGGAUUAGCUAGUUGGUGGGGUAACGGCCUACCAAGGCGACGAUCCAUAGCUGGUCUGAGAGGAUGAUCAGCCACACUGGGACUGAGACACGGCCCAGACUCCUACGGGAGGCAGCAGUGGGGAAUCUUGGACAAUGGGCGCAAGCCUGAUCCAGCCAUGCCGCGUGAGUGAUGAAGGCCCUAGGGUUGUAAAGCUCUUUCACCGGUGAAGAUAAUGACGGUAGCCGGAGAAGAAGCCCCGGCUAACUCCGUGCCAGCAGCCGCGGUAAUACGGAGGGGGCUAGCGUUGUUCGGAAUUACUGGGCGUAAAGCGCACGUAGGCGGGUAUCCAAGUUGGGGGUGAAAUCCCGGGGCUCAACCCCGGAACUGCCUCCAAAACUGGGUACCUAGAGUCCGAGAGAGGUGAGUGGAAUUCCCAGUGUA
This 621-nucleotide ribosomal RNA is filed under the name uncultured bacterium. Its description in RNAcentral is "bacterial SSU rRNA". It matches the Rfam family "Bacterial small subunit ribosomal RNA", at positions 8 to 677 of the family's 1533-position model. The record is from RNAcentral. RNAcentral also lists the same sequence under 1 other name.